GACGAACGCUGGCGGCGUGCCUAAUACAUGCAAGUAGAACGCACAGUUUAUACCGUAGCUUGCUACACCAUAGACUGCGAGUUGCGAACGGGUGAGUAACGCGUAGGUAACCUGCCUGGUAGCGGGGGAUAACUAUUGGAAACGAUAGCUAAUACCGCAUAAUAUUAAUUAUUGCAUGAUAAUUAAUUGAAAGGUGCAAUUGCACCACUACCAGAUGGACCUGCGUUGUAUUAGCUAGUAGGUGAGGUAACGGCUCACCUAGGCGACGAUACAUAGCCGACCUGAGAGGGUGAUCGGCCACACUGGGACUGAGACACGGCCCAGACUCCUACGGGAGGCAGCAGUAGGGAAUCUUCGGCAAUGGACGAAAGUCUGACCGAGCAACGCCGCGUGAGUGAAGAAGGUUUUCGGAUCGUAAAGCUCUGUUGUAAGAGAAGAACGGGUGUGAGAGUGGAAAGUUCACACUGUGACGGUAGCUUACCAGAAAGGGACGGCUAACUACGUG
This 505-nucleotide ribosomal RNA is filed under the name uncultured bacterium. Its description in RNAcentral is "partial 16S ribosomal RNA". It matches the Rfam family "Bacterial small subunit ribosomal RNA", at positions 28 to 507 of the family's 1533-position model. The record is from RNAcentral.